This is a non-coding RNA of Acanthosepion pharaonis, 98 nucleotides long. NCBI's taxonomy places the organism in Eukaryota, Metazoa, Mollusca, Cephalopoda, Sepiida, Sepiidae. The record is from the annotation of a GenBank genome assembly.
UUGAAACGCCGGUUUCCGUACGAUCAUCGAAGUUAAGCAACGUCUAGAUUGUUCAGUACCUAGAUGGGUGACCUCUUGGAGAUACCAGUUGCUGUAAG